Molecule: ribosomal RNA, 266 nt
Filed under: uncultured bacterium
Lineage: Bacteria
Description: partial 16S ribosomal RNA
Source: RNAcentral
CUGCUGCCUUCCGUAGGAGUUUGGGCCGUGUCUCAGUCCCAAUGUGGCCGUUCACCCUCUCAGGCCGGCUACUGAUCGUCGCUUUGGUGGGCCGUUACCCCGCCAACUGGAUAAUCAGACGCGGAUCCAUCGUAUACCACCGGAGUUUUUCACACUGUUCCAUGCGGAACCGUGCGCUUAUGCGGUAUUAGCACCUAUUUCUAAGUGUUAUCCCCCUGUAUACGGCAGGUUAUCCACGCGUUACUCACCCGUCCGCCACUAACCCA